Molecule: ribosomal RNA, 275 nt
Filed under: uncultured cyanobacterium
Lineage: Bacteria; Bacillati; Cyanobacteriota
Description: partial 16S ribosomal RNA
Rfam family: Bacterial small subunit ribosomal RNA
Source: RNAcentral
GGGGAAUUUUCCGCAAUGGGGGCAACCCUGACGGAGCAAGGCCGCGUGAGGGAGGAAGGCUUUAGGGUUGUAAACCUCUUUUUUCAGGGAAGAAGUACUGACGGUACCUGAGGAAUCAGCCUCGGCUAACUCCGUGCCAGCAGCCGCGGUAAUACGGAGGAGGCAAGCGUUAUCCGGAAUUAUUGGGCGUAAAGCGUCCGCAGGUGGCGAUUAAAGUCUGCUGUCAAAGCCCGCAGCUCAACUCCGGUUAGGCAGUGGAAACUGAAUAGCUAGAG